Long non-coding RNA from Pezoporus occidentalis (night parrot), 1383 nucleotides. RefSeq lists it as uncharacterized. The transcript has 3 exons. NCBI's taxonomy places the organism in Eukaryota, Metazoa, Chordata, Aves, Psittaciformes, Psittacidae. The record is from RefSeq and is a predicted model, not a curated record.
UGUCCCCUGAAAUCAGCGCUUGAAAGCAGUCGUGUGCAGUCACAGGUGAGGUUACUGCAUCCUUGCCAGGAACAACAAAAUGGGCAAACUCUCUGCUGCCGCUGACAGAUCUGGGAGAUGCUGGUGGUUAGAAGUGAUUAACAGGAGAAGUUCUGUUCUCUCUGUUGGCAUGAAAACGGCAUGAAGCAAGCAGAAGGAUGUGAAGAUGUGAAUAGGCUCCAGCACGAGUGGCUGCCUCUGCUCCAGUCCUGAAAGGCAUAAUUCUGAUGAUACGUAUUCUUGCUUUAGGUGCAAAACACUGGGCCAAAAUCAUUCCUGGCGCAUCUGCAUCAAAAGCAGGGACUUACUUGCUGCACUGCUGCUGAUUUUAGUGUUAUUCCAGAACGUUUGGCUUUAGUUUAAGAUGUCAGCCCUAAUCAAAACACACAGAUGUUCCCUGUUGAUUAUGCCUAAGGUUUCCUCCAAGAGUUUAUUUUAAAUAAUGUUUGCAAUUCCUGUUCAAAUCCUGUGUGAGCUCCAGUGAAGGUACCACACCACUGAUUCUCUUUACCUCCCCUUUCACCAAGGUAACGUGUUCUCUCUGGCUUUCUAAAAGUGCUGUCAUAUCUUGCACUCCGCCCGGGAAACGUGUCUUGCUGCUUUGCAUUCAGCCAGGUUUCUGUUCCUUGCUAUUAAACAGAUGUUUAAAACGUCAUAGAAGUCACCAGCCUGCCUUUUGCAUGGUUAAUUUAGGAUAUUUAUUUGCCUCCUGGUGAUGACCUGCUGCAAGACUAGAGAGGUGGGUAAGUGAGUGAAUUGCAUGAGACCCAAGGUCACUUCCUAGAUGGAAGGUCACAAGCACAGCAAGAGCAUUGACAGAGUAUUACUGGUGGCUGCUGCUGGAGAGCCCUGCUUGAAGGCUUGUCUGCAGUUCUCUUGAGUGAAGGGGAAGAUGCUGUUUAAGGCAGACUGUGCCUCAAGGACAGAGGUUUGUUCUGUGAAGAUUCACCAUGGCUAAGACGUCCAGGCACUGGCAUGUGUUGUGAUGCAUCAGACAGGGAACCUUGUCACAGAAGCCUUAUGGAACAGGAUAGGAGGAUAAAGAAGGUGGGAGAUUUGGGGAAAUCCCAGUGGUUCAGUGCAAUGAGAUGUAUUCUUCAUGAGACCUUGUAGCUCUCCAGGAGAUAACCAGAGUGCAGGGUCCUGGGACAGAGAGAUUGAUGGUUCAUUCCAGUCUUCCCCUUUAUUCCUGCUUGGUUGUCGUUUGUGUGUGAAGUCUGGUGACUAACUGAACUCACAAUACCUCCUGUUCCAGAUCAGGGAGUUCCCUUAUGCUAAUGCACUGCUUGAGUCACAAGUCAUAUUCUCUUUUUUUACUUUUGUGUUUCAGAGUACAAUUAUACA